RNAcentral lists this long non-coding RNA (2957 nucleotides) under Homo sapiens (human). RNAcentral describes it as "HSALNT0307836". The record is from RNAcentral. Lineage: Eukaryota; Metazoa; Chordata; Mammalia; Primates; Hominidae.
UCCUGGCUAGGGCUUCACCCUCUGGCUUGUGCCCACGAACCUAGGUGAGGACAGGCACUCCUGCCUUUGGGCCCAAAUGUUGCAUUUUCCAAAACCACCCUGGCCCACCACACCCCCAUCCUGGGCGGAUAAAAACUGAGACCCUAGCAGGCAGAUAGAUACACAAGCGUCUGGACGUCCAGAGGAGGGGAUCAGCGGAAGAAGACACAAGCAGCCGGACAUCGAGAGGAUGUCGAGGGGAGCAUGCCAGUGGAAGAGCACAUGACAGACACUGGCAGGACAGCAGGCCAUUGACUGGAGGAACGAUGUGGAGUUUAGCGAGAUCAGGAGGAGGAGAGCACGGGCCGCUAAGCAGAGGGACCCCUGGUGCAUCUCCCAUCUGGCUCCCCCAUCUGCUGAGAACUACUUCUACUCAGUAAAACCUCGGACUCAUUCUCCAAGCCCUCGCGUGAUCUGGUUCUUCCGGUACACCACGGCAGGAAACCCUGGGAUACAGAAAUCCCUCCGUCCUUGUGGAUUUUAGAAUGCCAAGCUGACAUUUUGAGUUUUUAUGAGAAACCAGAAAAUUUGGUGUGAAGACCCUAAGUGGUGUGUCUGACUUACAGCAGGCCCACAGUACCUGUUAUUGAGUGAGAUAAGCAAAUGGUAUUUCAGGACCAAAACAUCUGUUUCCUGAAGAGUUGCUCCUUUAAUUGUGUAUCUACCUACCUGUCUAUGUAACUCUUGGUAAAUGAAUUAAUUUGUUAGUUAAAAUCAAUCUAUUAAUUCAUAAUGAAUGGGAUAUCUUGUGGGAGGUACAUGUGCUUUGCAAAUACAUGGAAAGACGAGACUUUCCUAACAGGUUCUGGAAUUCAGGUUGAUAUUACCUUUUUAAAAAUUUUUAAGGAUUAAUAGCUAAAAAGAUCAAGUCAGUUUCUUCAUUUCUCCUGAAGGCCUGUUUCCAUCAGAUUUUAUCUCUGCCUAGGCAAAUACAUUGGAGACUUCUCAACUUUCUGCUUCUGAUGAUCUCAACUUGUGGUAUGGCAAAAGGAGAGCAAAAUGUUCACCCAGAUGACAUCGUGAUCAACUCCUCUGAAUCACUCUAAAGGAACGAGAAGUCCUGGCAGCUGAGUCAUGAUCCCCCAGGAGCCAUUAAGAAGUUAAUCUUCAGUCACUUCCAUCCAAACAGAAGAAAACCCAUGAAGGAUGAGAACUAUGGGUCCUGAGAAUGACAGGUAAUUGGUGCCACUUUAUUCACAGAAUCCAAUAAAUAGUACUCUUUGAUUCACAUAUUUAAUGCUCAUUAUUGUACAUUUUUAUAAAGACAAGUUAGUCUAAAUUGCCAUUCAUCUCUUUCUUAUCAAAGUCCUACCCAACACAUGAUCAUAUCAUCAGAAAUCAGAUAUUUUCUUGUUGAAUGCCCUACCUAACUCAUUCAAUUGUAAUUUUCUGGGAAUGGUGACCAGAGAUUUGAUAUUUUUGGAAGUUACAUCAAAUCCUCAUUACUUUAUAAGUGAUUUAAAAUUUAUCACAUGGUACACUUUUCAUAUCUUUCAAAGGAUUAAUAUAUAAAAAAUAUAUAGUUAAUGCUCAGCUUUAAAGACAUUAAAGGACAGAGUUAUACAGAAAGAAAGAUCCAGAGAUCUUUCUUUAAUAAAGAUAUUAAAAUUGAAUCUGCUUAUUCAAGUAUAAUGAUAGAACAGAAAGAGAUCUUAAAAUUGUUUAAUCUCUUCCUUGGCUUUCAAAAAUAUAAAGUCUUCUUUAUUGGAGAUUUCUUUAUCCAUAGAAUAUCUUAAUUCCCCACUCCCCAACUUCCUCCCCAUGUGAAGUUUUAUCUGUCUUUAAAAUAUUUGUGUUGUCUUCUUCAGGAUAUAUCAUUGAUUGGCACUUUUUGAUUCUAGUUUUAUAUACUGUUAUCCUUGUAUAUUAAAGUAGGUCUCAAAUAUAUCUUUCAUGGUGGUGUGUAAGGUUCUGAGAGAGCUGGAAAAAAGGUAUAAGCUCCCUUCUAAAGUGCAAGUAUAUACUUGCAGAGAUAUUUUUUCACUUACAUUCUUGGAGAUCAUCCAUGGUCUCCCCAUGUCUUUUACAAAAGAGGUUUCCAGCACCUAUUAGGGAAGCUAGAUGGUCACUUGUAUCUUCCUUAUCUCUGUAUUAGAUGAUAAUAUCGAAUGCAGGUAAGUGGUGGUGGGGAGAGUAAUAUUGACAGAAUAGUUAUAUGGCAAACAUUGGCACCUCAGAAAUUUUUUGCUUUUUUGAGGGCUCUUAUUAAUAUUUGCAAACUUUAAAAAGCCUUGAAAAGAGUUUUAUCCAGAGCUCACCACAUAUAGAAAAACAGAUCUCUCUUGUUAUGGGAAUUGAGGCUAGUCCAAAUUCCCCCAGAUUAAACAUCUUUCCUCAUUUGGCACAUUCUUCAGCUGUUCCUUAAGAAAAAAUCAUACUAAGGAAAGUUAAUUCUGGGAAGUCUAGAAUUAGAAUAAAAUUAUUACACUAAAAGGAAAGCCCAGAUAUCUCUUUAAAAAUGCUUAAUUUUUUUGAAAACUCACAUCAGCACCAGAUCAUUUCUUUAAUGUGUACAGAUUUCCUUUCUUCAUUGACUAAAUAGCUUUGCUAAACGAGAUUAAAACCACAUAACUCAAAUGAGACAUAUAAGAUCUUGAAUAAUGUUCACAUAGCUACAACAUCAAAUUCCAGUGCUAAUAUAAAUUAUGUCUACUACGUUUUCAUUUAUUUGGGAUUAUCUGUUUGCCUCAAGUGGUGUAAAAAAAUUGAGCAGGAACCACCUGAAACUUCCUUUCACAACAAGAGAAAGUUGUAAUUUGUAUUUACUUUACCUAGCUUUCUUUAUAUGAAUGUAGCCAAGAAGCAGGGGAGGAAGGACAAUUACAGGAAAUUGUGAUAGGAAACUAUUAGGAAAAGCAAUUUGUAAUUUCUGCUAAAACUCUAGGUAAAUAACCCUGAGCAUUCAUAGUCUGGCAAGU